GGGCCGUUUGUUGAAAAAAAAAAAACGCAACCUUCCCGUUACUGGGGAAUAGCCCAGGGCCAUCUUGGAUUAAUACCCCAUAUUAUAUUGAUUGGGCAUCUGAUUAAUAUCAAAGCUUCGGCGGUAACGGAUGGGCAUGCGUCUGAUUAGUUAGUUGGCGGUGUAAUGGACCACCAAGACGAUGAUCAGUAGGGGAACUGAGAGGUUGAUCCCCCACACUGGCACUGAGAUACGGGCCAGACUCCUACGGGAGGCAGCAGUAGGGAAUAUUGGUCAAUGGAUGGAAGUCUGAACCAGCCAUGCCGCGUGCAGGAAGAAGGCCUUCUGGGUUGUAAACUGCUUUUGCCAGGGGCUAAAAAGCUCAUGCGUGAGAAAUUGAAAGUACCUGGUGAAUAAGCCACGGCUAACUACGUGCCAGCAGCCGCGGUAAUA
RNAcentral lists this ribosomal RNA (432 nucleotides) under uncultured Algoriphagus sp. RNAcentral's name for it is "partial 16S ribosomal RNA". It matches the Rfam family "Bacterial small subunit ribosomal RNA", at positions 96 to 525 of the family's 1533-position model. The record is from RNAcentral. Lineage: Bacteria; Pseudomonadati; Bacteroidota; Cytophagia; Cytophagales; Cyclobacteriaceae.